UACGUAGGGAGCAAGCGUUGUCCGGAAUCAUUGGGCGUAAAGCGCGCGUAGGCGGCCUCAUAAGUCCGUUGUGAAAGUCAAAGGCUCAACCUUUGAAAGCCGAUGGAUACUGUGAGGCUAGAGUCCGGAAGAGGCGAGUGGAAUUCCUGGUGUAGCGGUGGAAUGCGCAGAUAUCAGGAGGAACACCAAUAGCGAAGGCAGCUCGCUGGGACGGUACUGACGCUAAGGCGCGAAAGCGUGGGGAGCGAACGGG
Molecule: ribosomal RNA, 253 nt
Filed under: uncultured bacterium
Lineage: Bacteria
Description: partial 16S ribosomal RNA
Rfam family: Bacterial small subunit ribosomal RNA
Source: RNAcentral